AUGGCGAUCAAGGCGAAGUAUCAAGUGAAGAAGAACUGCAUGGGUGAUCCGUGUGUUCCGAAGACGAUGGCAGCUACCAGUGUGACCUGCAGCUACCCACCUGACAGCCCACCAAGGAUCACAAGCGUAAACCUGUCCUCCAGUGGUCUAAAUGGUGAUAUAUCACCAUCUUUCGUGAAUCUGAAGACAGUCCAAUACCUUGACCUGUCAAACAAUAACCUUACAGGCUCAAUUCCAGAUGGUCUUUCGCAAUUACCUUCACUGACGUUUCUAGAUGUUUCAGGCAACCGGCUAAAUGGAUCGAUCCCCUCUGGACUCCUCAAAAGAAUUCGAGAUGACUCUCUGGAUCUAAGAUAUGGCAACAAUCCAAACCUCUGUACCAAUGCUAAUUCAUGUCAGAUACCUGCUAAAAGGAACAACAAGCUAGCCAUCUACAUUGUUGUGCCCGCAGUUCUGAUUGCGGUGAUAGUAUCAGUGACAUUGCUACUGAUUUGCUUGCUAAAACGAAAGAAGCAAGGUUCAAUGAACAACUCCAUUACACCCCGGAAUGAGACAAUGACAACCAAUGCACCGGGAAACAAUGUCUGCACCGACAGUUCGCUGCAGCGUCUUGAGAACCGUCGGUUCACGUACAAAGACUUAGAGAAGAUAACGAACAACUUUCAGCGAGUGCUGGGACGCGGAGGGUUCGGGUAUGUCUACGACGGCUUCUUGGAGGAUGGCACCCAGGUGGCGGUGAAGCUGCGGUCUCAUUCUUCCCAUCAAGGCGUCAAGGAGUUCCUCGCAGAGGCUCAAAUUUUGACACAGAUUCACCACAAGAAUCUUGUCUCCAUGAUUGGUUAUUGCAAGGAUGGAGAGUACAUGGCACUUGUCUAUGAGUACAUGUCGGAAGGAACACUGCAAGAGCAUAUUGAUGGAAGCAACUGCAACACACCACAUCUAUCAUGGACAGAAAGACUACGAAUCGCACUUGAAUCUGCGCAAGGGCUGGAGUACCUACACAAGGGUUGCAAUCCACCCCUCAUCCACAGAGAUGUUAAGGCCACCAAUAUUUUGUUGAACGCGAGACUCGAGGCUAGGAUCGCUGACUUUGGCUUGUCCAGGGCCUUUGACGACAGCAAUGACACCCACGUGUCCACAAACACGCUCGUCGGUACCCCGGGAUACGUAGAUCCAGAGUACCAGGCGACGAUGCAGCCAACAACCAAGAGUGAUGUGUACAGCUUCAUAGUCGUACUACUGGAGCUAGUCACGGGGAAGGCGGCCAUCCUGCGAGAGCCGGUACCCAUGAGUAUCAUCCAGUGGGCACAAGAGCGGUUGGCACAGGGCAACAUCGAGGAUGUGGUGGAUUCACAAAUGCUUGGAGAUUACGAUGUCAACAGUGUGUGGAAGGUUGCAGACAUUGCACUCAAGUGCACCUCACAGAUGUCGACACGUCGACCCACCAUGACCGAUGUGGUGAUGCAACUACAAGAGUGCAUUGAGCUCGAGAAGGCUCAUGGUGGAGGUGACAUCGCAAGCCAUAGAUUUUACUCUGGCAGCAGCAGUGAGAACCCGAACUUGAGAUAUGAUGCUUACACCACUAAUCAAUCUACUAAUGUGAUCCAAAACAACAAUACAUUUGAGAUGGAGCAUUAUUUGAAGAGAGUGCCGACAAUGGCUACUGGUCCUUCUGCACGUUGA
This 1683-nucleotide ribosomal RNA is filed under the name Triticum aestivum (bread wheat). Its description in RNAcentral is "partial small subunit ribosomal RNA". Lineage: Eukaryota; Viridiplantae; Streptophyta; Magnoliopsida; Poales; Poaceae. The record is from RNAcentral.